Molecule: long non-coding RNA, 923 nt
Organism: Monodelphis domestica (gray short-tailed opossum)
Lineage: Eukaryota; Metazoa; Chordata; Mammalia; Didelphimorphia; Didelphidae
Source: RefSeq, a predicted model, not a curated record
UAAUGAUUUGUUCAUGGUCACACAAAAAAGAUUGUCUAAAAUAUUUAUUUUAUGCAAUUGGAGAAUAGCCAGCUAAGAUCCAGUCAGUAUAGAGUGGUCAGAUUUGUUCUUCCUGGUAGAUUAUACAGAUCUUGCACAGAUAUUUCCUGCUUCGUUCCAAUCCAACAUAUGGAACAUUGGGGAGCCUGUUUCCAGCCAUGUAUGACUGAUAGGUUGGAACUGUGUGAUGAUGAAGAAUUCUCUGACUGGCUGUGGGGUGGGAAGAAGUGAUGAUUCAGGACAUGCUGAGCCAGACCUGAGUUCACAUACAGAAGGGACUUUUAGCCAAUACCUCCCUCUUUUUCCUUCCCUGUGGUUAGGAAGGCAAGAACUUGUUGUGAGCUGCUAAGAGGGGGAGUGGCAACACGUUAUGUCUGUGAACACACAGUUCCUCUGUUUUUUGUUCCUCUCUCAUCUCAGGUAGGAGUGUAUUGGGAAGCGGAGUGAACCAGAUUUUUGAUGUGAACUUUGAAAAAUUAGAGGAAGUGCUUGUAGAUGGAUGUAAACACAGUCACUUUAGUCCAGCAGUGUUUGCAAGUUCUGAUGAUGGAGAGAAGUGCCGAUUAUGGACUCUAGAAAGACACAGAUCCCAGAAGUCCAAUCUCAUGAGGACUCCACAAAGGAAGGAAAAGGUCUCAUAGGGCCAGCAAUCUUGAGGAAUUUUUCCACUACGCCAUGGCUGCUAAUCUUCACAUGAGUGACAUGAGUGAUAUAUGCCAAGAUUUUCUUGGGAAGUGGCCAACCACCCACCAUUAUGAUUGUCACAACAACCUUGAGAGACCUUCAUGUUGAUCCAUGACAUUAUUGUAUAUUGCCUCAUUGGACCCUCCCACAACAAUCUUAAGGGGUGGACAAGAUGAGAAAACUGAAGCACACAGAGAUCA